CCUACGGGAGGCAGCAGUGAGGAAUAUUGGUCAAUGGACGAGAGUCUGAACCAGCCAAGUAGCGUGAAGGAUGACUGCCCUAUGGGUUGUAAACUUCUUUUAUAUGGGAAUAAAAUGUUCCACGUGUGGGAUUUUGUAUGUACCAUAUGAAUAAGGAUCGGCUAACUCCGUGCCAGCAGCCGCGGUAAUACGGAGGAUCCGAGCGUUAUCCGGAUUUAUUGGGUUUAAAGGGAGCGUAGGUGGAUUGUUAAGUCAGUUGUGAAAGUUUGCGGCUCAACCGUAAAAUUGCAGUUGAAACUGGCAGUCUUGAGUACAGUAGAGGUAGGCGGAAUUAGUGGUGGAGCGGUGAAAUGCUUAGAUAUCACGAAGAACUCCGAUUGCGAAGGCAGUUCACUGGACUGCAACUGACACUGAGGCUCGAAAGUGUGGGUAUCAAACAGGAUUAGAGACACGAGUAGUC
This 460-nucleotide ribosomal RNA is filed under the name uncultured bacterium. RNAcentral's name for it is "partial 16S ribosomal RNA". It matches the Rfam family "Bacterial small subunit ribosomal RNA", at positions 338 to 795 of the family's 1533-position model. The record is from RNAcentral.